CUCGUAGGCGGUCUGUUGCGUCCGCUGUGAAAACCCGGGGCUUAACCCUUGGCUUGCAGUGGAUACGGACAGACUAGAGGUAGGUAGGGGAGAAUGGAAUUCCCGGUGUAGCGGUGAAAUGCGCAGAUAUCGGGAGGAACACCGGUGGCGAAGGCGGUUCUCUGGGCCUUACCUGACGCUGAGGAGCGAAAGCGUGGGGAGCGAAACA
RNAcentral lists this ribosomal RNA (208 nucleotides) under uncultured bacterium. Its description in RNAcentral is "partial 16S ribosomal RNA". It matches the Rfam family "Bacterial small subunit ribosomal RNA", at positions 568 to 775 of the family's 1533-position model. The record is from RNAcentral.